GGAGAGGUGGCUGAGCGGUCUAAGGCGCACGCCUGGAAAGCGUGUGAGGCGCAAGUCUCCCAGGGUUCGAAUCCCUGCCUCUCCG
Molecule: transfer RNA, 85 nt
Filed under: Candidatus Omnitrophota bacterium
Lineage: Bacteria; Pseudomonadati; Candidatus Omnitrophota
Description: tRNA-Ser
Rfam family: tRNA
About the family: Transfer RNA (tRNA) molecules are approximately 80 nucleotides in length. Their secondary structure includes four short double-helical elements and three loops (D, anti-codon, and T loops). Further hydrogen bonds mediate the characteristic L-shaped molecular structure. tRNAs have two regions of fundamental functional importance: the anti-codon, which is responsible for specific mRNA codon recognition, and the 3' end, to which the tRNAs corresponding amino acid is attached (by aminoacyl-tRNA synthetases). tRNAs cope with the degeneracy of the genetic code in two manners: having more than one tRNA (with a specific anti-codon) for a particular amino acid; and 'wobble' base-pairing, i.e. permitting non-standard base-pairing at the 3rd anti-codon position.
Source: RNAcentral